GACGAACGCUGGCGGCGUGCCUAAUACAUGCAAGUUGAGCGCUGAAGGUUGGUACUUGUACCAACUGGAUGAGCAGCGAACGGGUGAGUAACGCGUGGGGAAUCUGCCUUUGAGCGGGGGACAACAUUUGGAAACGAAUGCUAAUACCGCAUAAAAACUUUAAACACAAGUUUUAAGUUUGAAAGAUGCAAUUGCAUCACUCAAAGAUGAUCCCGCGUUGUAUUAGCUAGUUGGUGAGGUAAAGGCUCACCAAGGCGAUGAUACAUAGCCGACCUGAGAGGGUGAUCGGCCACCUUGGGACUGAGACACGGCCCAAACUCCUACGGGAGGCAGCAGUAGGGGAUCUUCGGCAAUAGACGAAAGUCUGACCGAGCAACGCCGCGUGAGUGAAGAAGGUUGUCGGAUCGUAAAACUCUGUUGGUAGAGAAGAACGUUGGUGAGAGUGGAAAGCUCAUCAAGUGACGGUAACUACCCAGAAAGGGACGGCUAACUACGUG
This 497-nucleotide ribosomal RNA is filed under the name uncultured bacterium. Its description in RNAcentral is "partial 16S ribosomal RNA". It matches the Rfam family "Bacterial small subunit ribosomal RNA", at positions 28 to 507 of the family's 1533-position model. The record is from RNAcentral.